RNAcentral lists this ribosomal RNA (468 nucleotides) under uncultured bacterium. Its description in RNAcentral is "partial 16S ribosomal RNA". It matches the Rfam family "Bacterial small subunit ribosomal RNA", at positions 28 to 507 of the family's 1533-position model. The record is from RNAcentral.
GACGAACGCUGGCGGCGUGCUUAACACAUGCAAGUCGAACGGUGAUGCUCCAGCUUGCUGGAGUGGAUCAGUGGCGAACGGGUGAGUAACACGUGAGCAACCUGCCCCAGACUCUGGAAUAAGCGCUGGAAACGGCGCCUAAUACUGGAUACGAAACUGGCCCGCAGGGGCAGGGUUUGGAAAGUUGUUCGGUUUGGGAUGGGCUCGCGGCCUAUCAGCUUGUUGGUUAGGUAAUGGCUGACCAAGGCGACGACGGGUAGCCGGCCGGGGAGGGCGACCGGCCACACUGGGACUGAGACACGGCCCAGACUCCUACGGGAGGCAGCAGUGGGGAAUAUUGCACAAUGGGCGCGAGCCUGAUGCAGCGACGCCGCGUGAGGGAUGACGGCCUUCGGGUUGUAAACCUCUUUCAGCAGGGAAGAAGCGAAAGUGACGGUACCUGCAGAAGAAGCACCGGCUAACUACGUG